RNAcentral lists this ribosomal RNA (253 nucleotides) under uncultured bacterium. Its description in RNAcentral is "partial 16S ribosomal RNA". It matches the Rfam family "Bacterial small subunit ribosomal RNA", at positions 524 to 776 of the family's 1533-position model. The record is from RNAcentral.
GACGUAGGUGGCGAGCGUUGUUCGGAAUCACUGGGCAUAAAGCGCACGUAGGCGGCCAAGUCAGUCAGGUGUGAAAUACCUCGGCUCAACCGAGGAACUGCGCCUGAUACUGCUUGGCUUGAGGUCCGGAGGGGAGAGUGGAAUUCCCGGUGGAGCGGUGAAAUGCGUAGAGAUCGGGAAGAACGCCGGCGGCGAAAGCGACUCUCUGGUCGGAAUCUGACGCUGAGACGCGAAAGCCAGGGGAGCGAACGGG